CUACGGGUGGCUGCAGUGGGGAAUAUUGCACAAUGGGCGCAAGCCUGAUGCAGCCAUGCCGCGUGUGUGCAGCAGGCCUUCGGGUUGUAAAGCACUUUCAGCGGGGAGGAAGGCGGUGAGGUUAAUAACCUCAUCGAUUGACGUUACCCGCAGAAGAAGCACCGGCUAACUCCGUGCCAGCAGCCGCGGUAAUACGGAGGGUGCAAGCGUUAAUCGGAAUUACUGGGCGUAAAGCGCACGCAGGCGGUCUGUCAAGUCGGAUGUGAAAUCCCCGGGCUCAACCUGGGAAAUGCAUUCGAAACUGGCAGGCUAGAGUCUUGUAGAGGGGGGUAGAAUUCCAGGUGUAGCGGUGAAAUGCGUAGAGAUCUGGAGGAAUACCGGUGGCGAAGGCGGCCCCCUGGACAAAGACUGACGCUCAGGUGCGAAAGCGUGGGGAGCAAACAGGAUUAGAUACCCGGGUAGUC
This 464-nucleotide ribosomal RNA is filed under the name uncultured Klebsiella sp. RNAcentral's name for it is "bacterial SSU rRNA". It matches the Rfam family "Bacterial small subunit ribosomal RNA", at positions 339 to 795 of the family's 1533-position model. The record is from RNAcentral. Lineage: Bacteria; Pseudomonadati; Pseudomonadota; Gammaproteobacteria; Enterobacterales; Enterobacteriaceae.